GAUGAACGCUGGCGGCGUGCCUAAUACAUGCAAGCCGAGCGAACGGACGAGAAGCUUGCUUCUCUGAUGUUAGCGGCGGACGGGUGAGUAACACGUGGAUAACCUACCUAUAAGACUGGGAUAACUUCGGGAAACCGUAGCUAAUACCGGAUAAUAUUUUGAACCGCAUGGUUCAAAAGUGAAAGACGGUCUUGCUGUCACUUAUAGAUGGAUCCGCGCUGCAUUAUCUAGUUGGUAAGGUAACGGCUUACCAAGGCAACGAUGCAUAGCCGACCUGAGAGGGUGAUCGGCCACACUGGAACUGAGACACGGUCCAGACUCCUACGGGAGGCAGCAGUAGGGAAUCUUCCGCAAUGGGCGAAAGCCUGACGGAGCAACGCCGCGUGAGUGAUGAAGGUCUUCGGAUCGUAAAACUCUGUUAUUAGGGAAGAACAUAUGUGUAAGUAACUGUGCACAUCUUGACGGUACCUAAUCAGAAAGCCACGGCUAACUACGUG
This 497-nucleotide ribosomal RNA is filed under the name uncultured bacterium. RNAcentral describes it as "partial 16S ribosomal RNA". It matches the Rfam family "Bacterial small subunit ribosomal RNA", at positions 28 to 507 of the family's 1533-position model. The record is from RNAcentral.